CUGAAUUUAAGCAUAUUAAUGAGGGGAGGAAAAGAAACUAACAAGGAUUUUCUUAGUAGCGGCGAGCGAAAAGAAAAUAGUUCAGCACUAAGUCACUUUGUCUUUAUGGCAAAUGUGAGAUGCAGUGUAUGGAAUGUCAAAUUUCUAGUAUGAGAAAUUAACGAUUUAAGUCCUUCUUAAAUGAGGCCAUUUACCCAAAGAGGGUGCCAGGCCCGUAUAACGUUAAUGAUUACUAGAUGGCAUUUCCAAAGAGUCGUGUUGCUUGAUAGUGCAGCACUAAGUGGGUGGUAAACUCCAUCUAAAACUAAAUAUAACCAUGAGACCGAUAGUAAACAAGUACCGUGAGGGAAAGUUGAAAAGAACUCUGAAUAGAGAGUUAAAUAGUACGUGAAACUGCUUAGAGGUUAAGCCCGAUGAACCUGAAUAUCCGUUAUGGAAAAUUCAUCAUUAUGAUUUUAAUAUUUAUAAUAUUAUAAUAAUGGUGUGCAUUUUUUCUAUAAAGGACAUUGUAAUCUAUUAACUUUACAUUAUUUAUCAUAAGAUCAUUAGAUUAUGUUUAUUCAAAUUAUUUUGCUUGCAUUUUAAUAUCGAAUAAAUUCUUUUGAUUUGAUAAAGCGUUGAUAGAUUUAUUAUAUACAGUGCUUAAAUAUUUAUAUUUUAUAAUAUCAUAUUAAUCAAUGAUUUUUAUGUUCAUUAUAUGCACUUGUAUGAUUAACAAUGCGAAAGAUUCAGGAUACCUUCGGGACCCGUCUUGAAACACGGACCAAGGAGUCUAACAUAUUUGCAAGUUAUUGGGAAUAAAAACCUAAUAGCGAAAUUAACAUAACUUUAAUGGGAUUAGUUUUUAGCCUAUUUAUAGUCUAUUAAUUCAAUCCCGGGGCGUUCUAUACAGUUAUGUAUAAUAAUAUUUAUAUUAUUUAUACCUCUAACUAGAGCGUACCUUGAGCAUAUAUGCUGUGACCCGAAAGAUGGUGAACUAUACUUGAUCAGGUUGAAGUCAGGGGAAACCCUGAUGGAAGACCGAAACAGUUCUGACGUGCAAAUCGAUUGUCAGAAUUGAGUAUAGGGGCGAAAGACCAAUCGAACCAUCUAGUAGCUGGUUCCCUCCGAAGUUUCCCUCAGGAUAGCUGGUGCAUUUAAAAAUUAUGUAAAAUAAUCUUAUCUGGUAAAGCGAAUGAUUAGAGGCCUUAGGGUCGAAACGAUCUUAACCUAUUCUCAAACUUUAAAUGGGUAAGAACCUCACCUUUCUUGGUAUGAAGGUUGUGGUUGUGAUAUAAUGUGCCCAGUGGGCCACUUUUGGUAAGCAGAACUGGCGCUGUGGGAUGAACCAAACGUAAUGUUACGGUGCCCAAAUUAACAACUCAUGCAGAUACCAUGAAAGGCGUUGGUUGCUUAAAACAGCAGGACGGUGGACAUGGAAGUCGUAAUCCGCUAAGGAGUGUGUAACAACUCACCUGCCGAAGCAACUAGCCCUUAAAAUGGAUGGCGCUUAAGUUGUAUACCUAUACAUUACCGCUAAAGUAGAUGGUUUAUAUUCAAUUUCGGUUGGAUUUUAAACUUUGAAACUUUAGUGAGUAGGAGGGUACAAUGGUGAGCAUAGAAGUGUUUGGCGUAAGCCUGCAUGGAGCUGCCAUUGGCACAGAUCUUGGUGGUAGUAGCAAAUAAUCGAAUGAGACCUUGGAGGACUGAAGUGGAGAAGGGUUUCGUGUGAACAGUGGUUGAUCACGAGUUAGUCGGUCCUAAGUUUAAGGCGAAAGCCGAAAAUUUUCAAGUUAUAAUGAAUAAGUAAAAUAUAUACAAGUAUAUAUAAGAAAAAGUAAUAAAACACUUGAAUAAUUUUGAACGAAAGGGAAUACGGUUCCAAUUCCGUAACCUGUUGAGUAUCCGUUUGUUAUUAAAUAUGGGCCUUGUGCUCAUCCUGGCAACAGGAACGACCAUAAAGAAGCCGUCGAGAGAUAUCGGAAGAGUUUUCUUUUCUGUUUUAUAGUCGUACUACCAUGGAAGUCUUUCGAAGAGAGAUAUGGUAGAUGGACUAGAAGAGCAUGACAUUUACUGUUGUGUCGAUAUUUUCUCCUCGGACCUUGAAAAUUUAUGGUGGGGUCACGCAAACUUCUCAACAGGCCGUACCAAUAUCCGCAGCUGGUCUCCAAGGUGAAGAGUCUCUAGUCGAUAGAAUAAUGUAGGUAAGGGAAAGUCG
RNAcentral lists this ribosomal RNA (2197 nucleotides) under Lucilia richardsi. Its description in RNAcentral is "eukaryotic LSU rRNA". It matches the Rfam family "Eukaryotic large subunit ribosomal RNA", at positions 28 to 1916 of the family's 3401-position model. The record is from RNAcentral. Lineage: Eukaryota; Metazoa; Arthropoda; Insecta; Diptera; Calliphoridae.